AGAACACACAUUAAUUAUUCCUAGGGCCAUGGGAUAAACAAAAACCCUGCAAAAACAAGUUAGCACAGCCUAGAAUGGUUCUAGCACAAUUUCUAACUUAUGGAUUUGAUACCAGUUAAAGGGAAAAGCUC
Molecule: microRNA precursor, 131 nt
Filed under: Vitis vinifera (wine grape)
Lineage: Eukaryota; Viridiplantae; Streptophyta; Magnoliopsida; Vitales; Vitaceae
Description: MIR845_2 microRNA precursor family
Rfam family: MIR845_2 microRNA precursor family
Source: Rfam by way of RNAcentral